UCAUGACUGAUAGAUUGAGCGCGUCACAAUUUUCAAUGAAAACCUUCGCAGGUGGUCUCCUACAGCGGCUCCCAAUGAGGUUGUUCCAAUGGCGGCUAUGGCUGUUACGCGGACAGUAGGGGUUCAUUUCUCAUGAUGCCACAGCCACUACUUGUCCUUGUCGAAAUUAGGCAUAUUUCUUCAAUGGAAACUUUUACAGUUACUAUGAUGGGGGGCAAUGAAUUUUCAAGCAUCUUUUUCUCUCUAGGAUCUACAGUAUAAUCAGGCGUACCAAACGAACACAAAAGCCUAAGCACUCAUCACUAGAACGGCACCCAUUGUAAAAAUUGAAAGUACCACCACGAAUUGAAGUUGGUAAUAAUUUUUCUCUCUACAGUUUUUAGAUCUAGAAUUAAUGACCCUAGUACUUAGGCUGCUAAGGAAAAAGAGAAGGCCGUCCUAGCCAACUGGCCUACCAAUUUUGAGUGACACAUAUUUGCCUGUCUUGCUUCUGGUGGAGAUUCAAAAGCUGGUUACCUCAAAUGCUGGUGUGCAGAAUAUAGGAAGUUUUCCUUACUCUCUUGGCUUUGAGAUUUCAUGCUCCAGAGAAAGAACCAAAGGGAAUUGGAUUUUGGGGGCACCCGUACCCCAAAUCCUUGUUGGUGUUGAUGCGUCCUGCUGAGGAGGCCGCUCAGCGAGAGUUUCUUCGAUCAGUUUUCUGUUUUUUGUUUCCAACUGGCUUCUAAAAAGCUUCCCUCAUGUGGGUUUUCCUGCACUUCCAUCUCUUCUCUGUUCUGUGCAUCAGAUGGUGUUGCUUGUCCUCCACCAUUGGAAGUGGAAGGCAGUAUCCCACACGUUUCUGUUGUGUGUACGGUUCCUGAUGGUGUGGGCAAGCUUUCUAGUGAGAAGGUUGAGGUUGAGGACACCUGCUUAGAUGAAAAUGUCAAAGUUGUGCUCAAGAGUAUCUUGAAGAAGGAAGGGGUUGAUGAUGGGGUGAAGGGGGAUGGAAUUGAAAAGGGGAGGGUGCGGUGGAUGGAUUUUCAAGGAAGAGAAUUAGUUGAGGUAAAGGAAUUUGAAGCCAGUGAUUGGGAUGAUUCAGAUGAUGACGAAAAUGACAGGUGUUUGUGUGCUAUCCAGUGAACUGAUUCCAGCUUCUUGCAACAUGCCCACCUCCUGCAAUAAGCACAACUAACAUUCUAAACUGAGUUUUGGCAUAUCAUAUAUUUUGCUGCAAGCAUUCCCUCGACCUCAUAAACUAUCAAUUAUCUGAAACAUUUUUGUAUUUGGCAACUUCAAUUUUGUAUAUGAUGGCUCCAACCUGUUACCGCAUGAAUUCAGAUUAAACAUCUGAUUCUCCAUUCAUAGAUGAUAAAAUGUUUGCUGCAAAUCUAUCUCUCUCUAGCAUUGGGUUCAACCAACAAGGGGAUCGCCGUCUGGGCGGUGAAGAUGUUAGGAUAAGGAUUCCACAUGGUCACUAAGCUAAGUUACUCAAGCACGUAACGUGGACGCAGUCAAGGUAAAGAUGCAUCUAUCAAAAACUGCUAUUUGGCCCCCGGCAGUAACUGCUCAUGAGAAGGCAGCAUGUGCGCCAAAGAAAUGCUGAACUUGGAUUCAAAUCAUUGGGCAUAAAUCUUGAACAAAAACGCGACCCUUGCAGGCUUCACCAAACCAAGUUCUCGUUGUAGCUUUUUUCUUUUCUGUAAAAACUGUAACGAGACUUUAGAAAUUAUAAUGGGUUGAACCAGAAAUGAAAUCCUUUUGUGCA
Molecule: long non-coding RNA, 1744 nt
Organism: Nymphaea colorata (pocket water lily)
Lineage: Eukaryota; Viridiplantae; Streptophyta; Magnoliopsida; Nymphaeales; Nymphaeaceae
Exons: 3
Source: RefSeq, a predicted model, not a curated record